This 324-nucleotide ribosomal RNA is filed under the name uncultured bacterium. RNAcentral describes it as "bacterial SSU rRNA". It matches the Rfam family "Bacterial small subunit ribosomal RNA", at positions 32 to 383 of the family's 1533-position model. The record is from RNAcentral.
AUAAGCAAAAACACAACGCUGGCGGUCGUUGCUUAUGCAGUCGAACGAGGGACCACUACCUAAUGGCGGACGGGUAGUCUGGAAUCUGCCCAAGGUGGGGGAUAACUAACCGAAAGGUUAGCUAAUACCGCAUAUGCCGUGAGGUAAAAGGAGUAAUCCGCCCCUGCGAUGAGCCUGCGUCCGAUUAGCUUGUUGGUAGGGUAAAAGCCUACCAAUGCUACGAUCGGUAGCUGGUCUGAGAGGAUGAUCCGCCACAAUGGGACUGAGACACGGCCCAUACUCCUACGGGAGGCAGCAGUGGGGAAUUACACAUGGGUGCAAACC